This 224-nucleotide long non-coding RNA is filed under the name Brassica napus (rape). RNAcentral's name for it is "long non-coding RNA (BNAP_LNC004544)". Lineage: Eukaryota; Viridiplantae; Streptophyta; Magnoliopsida; Brassicales; Brassicaceae. The record is from RNAcentral.
GCCGGAACAUCAACGAAGAAGGUUCGGAAACCCUCAAAACGGUCUAAACCAUCUCCUCUACCGCCGCAGUAUGAGUUCACUCCAAGGACAACAGAGCCUCCACCUCGUGGCAACCGCAGAGCUGGACCAACGGUGAGUGACUACCCACCUCCGAGACAGCUGUUCGAGGAGUCUACGCCGAGGACCCAACCUCGAGCUGCUUCAACGCCUCUUUCUCAACCAGC